GACGAACGCUGGCGGCGUGCUUAACACAUGCAAGUCGAACGGUAAGGCCCUUCGGGGUACACGAGUGGCGAACGGGUGAGUAACACGUGGGUGAUCUGCCCUGCACUUCGGGAUAAGCCCGGGAAACUGGGUCUAAUACCGGAUAGGACUCCUGGCUUCAUGGUUGGGGGGGGAAAGCUUUUGCGGUGUGGGAUGGGCCCGCGGCCUAUCAGCUUGUUGGUGGGGUAAUGGCCUACCAAGGCGACGACGGGUAGCCGGCCUGAGAGGGUGACCGGUCACACUGGGACUGAGAUACGGCCCAGACUCCUACGGGAGGCAGCAGUGGGGAAUAUUGCACAAUGGGCGCAAGCCUGAUGCAGCGACGCCGCGUGAGGGAUGACGGCCUUCGGGUUGUAAACCUCUUUCAGCUAUGACGAAGCGCAAGUGACGGUAGUAGCAGAAGAAGGACCGGCCAACUACGUGCCAGCCGCCGCGGUAA
Molecule: ribosomal RNA, 478 nt
Filed under: uncultured bacterium
Lineage: Bacteria
Description: partial 16S ribosomal RNA
Rfam family: Bacterial small subunit ribosomal RNA
Source: RNAcentral